This 72-nucleotide transfer RNA is filed under the name Candidatus Uhrbacteria bacterium. Its description in RNAcentral is "tRNA-Arg". It matches the Rfam family "tRNA". From Rfam's summary of the family: Transfer RNA (tRNA) molecules are approximately 80 nucleotides in length. Their secondary structure includes four short double-helical elements and three loops (D, anti-codon, and T loops). Further hydrogen bonds mediate the characteristic L-shaped molecular structure. tRNAs have two regions of fundamental functional importance: the anti-codon, which is responsible for specific mRNA codon recognition, and the 3' end, to which the tRNAs corresponding amino acid is attached (by aminoacyl-tRNA synthetases). tRNAs cope with the degeneracy of the genetic code in two manners: having more than one tRNA (with a specific anti-codon) for a particular amino acid; and 'wobble' base-pairing, i.e. permitting non-standard base-pairing at the 3rd anti-codon position. The record is from RNAcentral. Lineage: Bacteria; Candidatus Uhriibacteriota.
GCCCCCGUAGCUCAAUGGACAGAGCAGCGCCGUCCUAAGGCGACGAUGGUGGUUCGACUCCUCCCGGGGGCA